GUCUACGGCCAUACCACUGUGAAGGUGCCCAAUCUCAUCUGAUCUCGGAAGACAAUCAGAGUCGGGGCUGGUGAGAACUUGGAUAGGAGAAAUCUUCUAUGCUCUGAAAA
Molecule: ribosomal RNA, 110 nt
Filed under: Propithecus coquereli (Coquerel's sifaka)
Lineage: Eukaryota; Metazoa; Chordata; Mammalia; Primates; Indriidae
Source: RNAcentral